This is a long non-coding RNA of Pleuronectes platessa (European plaice), 448 nucleotides long. RefSeq lists it as uncharacterized. The record is from RefSeq and is a predicted model, not a curated record. NCBI's taxonomy places the organism in Eukaryota, Metazoa, Chordata, Actinopteri, Pleuronectiformes, Pleuronectidae. The transcript has 3 exons.
GCUGUUGCUGCUGAUUCUCGGCUCCAUUCGAUUUAAGUUGAAUCACUUUCUUUCUCUCCUUUUCCCACAAUCAAGUUUUAAUAACCACUUCCUUCUUUCUCUGGCCCUCAGGGCACGGAUGUUGAAAAGGGUCACGACUGAAAUAUAUCCUGACCACUGAGGAGGAAGUCAUCCAACAGGAAGUGCUGUGAUGGAGAUUUCAUUUAAAAAGAGUGUUUCAAGGAAACGUCUCUGAGGAGGACGGAGGUGGGUUUGACAGUGAGCUGGUGAAGAGCUGGUGAAGAGCUGGUGUGAAGCACGUGAAGAUGAAGCUCGAGGGUCAGUGUGUGGUUCAACAUCAUGACCUCACUGAUGGUCCUCACAGAUUUUGAAGUCUCUCCCUCAUCAUGUGUUCUUUUCACAAAGUGUUUUCAGUCUGGUUACCAGACAGACAACAUGGAGGACGUCC